CUACGGGUGGCUCCAGGCGCGAAACCUUUUCAAUGCGCGAAAGCGUGAGAAGGGAAUUCCAAGUGCUUAAGUUUUACUUAGGCUUUUGUCAAGUGUAAAAAGCUUGGCGAAUAAGGGGUGGGUAAGACCGGUGCCAGCCGCCGCGGUAACACCAGCGCCUCGAGUGGGGGUCGCGAUUAUUGGGUCUAAAGCGUCCGUAGCAGGCUUUGUAAAUGCUUUGUGAAAUCGGCAGGCAUAACCUGUCGGCGUGCAGAGUAGACUGCAGUGCUUGAGAUCGGGAGAGGUUAGAAGUAUUCUUUGGGUACCGGUAAAAUGGGUUAAUCCAGAGAGGACUACCUAUGGCGAAGGCAUCUGACCAGAACGAUUCUGACUGUGAGGGACGAAAGCUAGGGGAGCAAAACGGAUUAGAUACCCCUGUAGUC
RNAcentral lists this ribosomal RNA (422 nucleotides) under uncultured archaeon. RNAcentral's name for it is "partial 16S ribosomal RNA". It matches the Rfam family "Archaeal small subunit ribosomal RNA", at positions 323 to 746 of the family's 1478-position model. The record is from RNAcentral.